UGAGAAGAGGAAGCGCUUUGAGGGGCCUGUUCUGGCCAAUGAUAAGGAGCUUCCCUGUGCUAAGAAGAGGAGGCUGAUACCAUCGGAGGCGAGAAAGGAGAAAGGAGUCUCUUCUGGAAUAGGAGAGAAGGGGAAGCGGUUCUCUGGACCAUUCCUAUCCAGGGAUAAAGAGACUCCCUGUGCUAAGAAGAGGAGGCUGGAAACACUGGAGGAGGGACAGCAGACACCGGCCAAAGCAGUCUCUUCCGGAAUAGGACAAAAGAGGAAGAGGUACUCUGGUCCUGUCCUAUCAAAGGAUACAGAGUCUCCCUAUAAGACCAGCGGAAGCCAGAACACCUUGCCUUGGGGAGAAACACCUUUACCACCUGCCUGCCCUCUCAUCCAUC
Long non-coding RNA from Pseudophryne corroboree (corroboree frog), 386 nucleotides. RefSeq lists it as uncharacterized. The transcript has 6 exons. NCBI's taxonomy places the organism in Eukaryota, Metazoa, Chordata, Amphibia, Anura, Myobatrachidae. The record is from RefSeq and is a predicted model, not a curated record.